RNAcentral lists this ribosomal RNA (436 nucleotides) under uncultured Clostridium sp. RNAcentral describes it as "bacterial SSU rRNA". It matches the Rfam family "Bacterial small subunit ribosomal RNA", at positions 214 to 668 of the family's 1533-position model. Lineage: Bacteria; Bacillati; Bacillota; Clostridia; Eubacteriales; Clostridiaceae. The record is from RNAcentral.
GGCGGUACAGGAUGGACCCGCGUCUGAUUAGCUAGUUGGUAAGGUAACGGCUUACCAAGGCGACGAUCAGUAGCCGACCUGAGAGGGUGAUCGGCCACAUUGGAACUGAGACACGGUCCAAACUCCUACGGGAGGCAGCAGUGGGGAAUAUUGCACAGUGGGCGAAAGCCUGAUGCAGCAACGCCGCGUGAGCGAUGAAGGCCUUCGGGUCGUAAAGCUCUGUCCUCAAGGAAGAUAAUGACGGUACUUGAGGAGGAAGCCCCGGCUAACUACGUGCCAGCAGCCGCGGUAAUACGUAGGGGGCUAGCGUUAUCCGGAAUUACUGGGCGUAAAGGGUGCGUAGGUGGUUUCUUAAGUCAGAGGUGAAAGGCUACGGCUCAACCGUAGUAAGCCUUUGAAACUGGGAAACUUGAGUGCAGGAGAGGAGAGUGGAAUU